GCCUGCUUGGCUCAGUUGGCAGAGCGUUGCUCUCGUAAAGCAAAGGACGGGUGUUCGAUUCACCCAGUAGGCA
This is a transfer RNA of 73 nucleotides. It matches the Rfam family "tRNA". Rfam says of the family: Transfer RNA (tRNA) molecules are approximately 80 nucleotides in length. The record is from Rfam.